ACGUAGGUGGCAAGCGUUAUCCGGAAUGAUUGGGCGUAAAGGGUGCGUAGGUGGUGCAUUAAGUCUGAAGUAAAAGCCAGCAGCUCAACUGCUGUAAGCUUUGGAAACUGGUGUACUAGAGUGCAGGAGAGGGCGAUGGAAUUCCAUGUGUAGCGGUAAAAUGCGUAGAUAUAUGGAGGAACACCAGUGGCGAAGGCGGUCGCCUGGCCUGUAACUGACACUGAGGCACGAAAGCGUGGGGAGCAAAUAG
This 250-nucleotide ribosomal RNA is filed under the name uncultured bacterium. RNAcentral's name for it is "partial 16S ribosomal RNA". It matches the Rfam family "Bacterial small subunit ribosomal RNA", at positions 525 to 775 of the family's 1533-position model. The record is from RNAcentral.